This 641-nucleotide ribosomal RNA is filed under the name uncultured Pseudomonadota bacterium. Its description in RNAcentral is "bacterial SSU rRNA". It matches the Rfam family "Bacterial small subunit ribosomal RNA", at positions 48 to 678 of the family's 1533-position model. Lineage: Bacteria; Pseudomonadati; Pseudomonadota. The record is from RNAcentral.
CUAACACAUGCAAGUCGAACGGCAGCACAGGAGAGCUUGCUCUCUGGGUGGCGAGUGGCGGACGGGUGAGGAAUACAUCGGAAUCUACUCUGUCGUGGGGGAUAACGUAGGGAAACUUACGCUAAUACCGCAUACGACCUACGGGUGAAAGCAGGGGAUCUUCGGACCUUGCGCGAUUGAAUGAGCCGAUGUCGGAUUAGCUAGUUGGCGGGGUAAAGGCCCACCAAGGCGACGAUCCGUAGCUGGUCUGAGAGGAUGAUCAGCCACACUGGAACUGAGACACGGUCCAGACUCCUACGGGAGGCAGCAGUGGGGAAUAUUGGACAAUGGGCGCAAGCCUGAUCCAGCCAUACCGCGUGGGUGAAGAAGGCCUUCGGGUUGUAAAGCCCUUUUGUUGGGAAAGAAAUCCAGCUGGCUAAUACCCGGUUGGGAUGACGGUACCCAAAGAAUAAGCACCGGCUAACUUCGUGCCAGCAGCCGCGGUAAUACGAAGGGUGCAAGCGUUACUCGGAAUUACUGGGCGUAAAGCGUGCGUAGGUGGUCGUUUAAGUCCGUUGUGAAAGCCCUGGGCUCAACCUGGGAACUGCAGUGGAUACUGGGCGACUAGAGUGUGGUAGAGGGUAGCGGAAUUCCUGGUGUAG